This 508-nucleotide ribosomal RNA is filed under the name uncultured bacterium. Its description in RNAcentral is "partial 16S ribosomal RNA". It matches the Rfam family "Bacterial small subunit ribosomal RNA", at positions 28 to 523 of the family's 1533-position model. The record is from RNAcentral.
GAUGAACGCUAGCUACAGGCUUAACACAUGCAAGUCGAGGGGAAACGAUAUUGGAAGCUUGCUUCCGAUAGGCGUCGACCGGCGCACGGGUGAGUAACGCGUAUCCAACCUGCCCACCACUUGGGGAUAACCUUGCGAAAGUAAGACUAAUACCCAAUGACGUCCAUAGAAGACAUCUGAAAUGGAUUAAAGAUUUAUCGGUGAUGGAUGGGGAUGCGUCUGAUUAGCUUGUUGGCGGGGUAACGGCCCACCAAGGCGACGAUCAGUAGGGGGUCGGGGAGGAAGGGCCCCCACAUUGGAACUGAGACACGGUUCAAACUCCUACGGGAGGCAGCAGUGAGGAAUAUUGGUCAAUGGGCGAGAGCCUGAACCAGCCAAGUAGCGUGCAGGAUGACGGCCCUAUGGGUUGUAAACUGCUUUUAUAAGGGAAUAAAGUGAGCCUCGUGAGGCUUUUUGCAUGUACCUUAUGAAUAAGGACCGGCUAAUUCCGUGCCAGCCGCCGCCGUAA